CCUACGGGGGGCAGCAGUGGGGAAUAUUGGACAAUGGGCGAAAGCCUGAUCCGGCCAUGCCGCGUGUGUGAAGAAGGCCUUCGGGUUGUAAAGCACUUUCAGUGGGGAAGAAAGCCUUGGGGCUAAUACCCUCGAGGAAGGACAUCACCCACAGAAGAAGCACCGGCUAACUCCGUGCCAGCAGCCGCGGUAAUACGGAGGGUGGGAGCGUUAAUCGGAAUUACUGGGCGUAAAGCGCGCGUAGGCGGUCUGAUAAGCCGGUUGUGAAAGCCCCGGGCUCAACCUGGGAACGGCAUCCGGAACUGUCAGGCUAGAGUGCAGGAGAGGAAGGUAGAAUUCCCGGUGUAGCGGUGAAAUGCGUAGAGAUCGGGAGGAAUACCAGUGGCGAAGGCGGCCUUCUGGACUGACACUGACGCUGAGGUGCGAAAGCGUGGGUAGCAAACAGGAUUAGAUACCCCAGUAGUC
This 465-nucleotide ribosomal RNA is filed under the name Vreelandella stevensii. Its description in RNAcentral is "partial 16S ribosomal RNA". It matches the Rfam family "Bacterial small subunit ribosomal RNA", at positions 338 to 795 of the family's 1533-position model. The record is from RNAcentral. Lineage: Bacteria; Pseudomonadati; Pseudomonadota; Gammaproteobacteria; Oceanospirillales; Halomonadaceae.